This 574-nucleotide ribosomal RNA is filed under the name uncultured bacterium. RNAcentral's name for it is "partial 16S ribosomal RNA". It matches the Rfam family "Bacterial small subunit ribosomal RNA", at positions 355 to 922 of the family's 1533-position model. The record is from RNAcentral.
UGGGGAAUUUUGGACAAUGGGCGAAAGCCUGAUCCAGCAAUGCCGCGUGUGUGAAGAAGGCCUUCGGGUUGUAAAGCACUUUUGUCCGGAAAGAAAUCCUUGGCUCUAAUACAGUCGGGGGAUGACGGUACCGGAAGAAUAAGCACCGGCUAACUACGUGCCAGCAGCCGCGGUAAUACGUAGGGUGCAAGCGUUAAUCGGAAUUACUGGGCGUAAAGCGUGCGCAGGCGGUUUGCUAAGACCGAUGUGAAAUCCCCGGGCUCAACCUGGGAACUGCAUUGGUGACUGGCAGGCUAGAGUAUGGCAGAGGGGGGUAGAAUUCCACGUGUAGCAGUGAAAUGCGUAGAGAUGUGGAGGAAUACCGAUGGCGAAGGCAGCCCCCUGGGCCAAUACUGACGCUCAUGCACGAAAGCGUGGGGAGCAAACAGGAUUAGAUACCCUGGUAGUCCACGCCCUAAACGAUGUCAACUAGUUGUUGGGGAUUCAUUUCCUUAGUAGCGUAGCUAACGCGUGAAGUUGACCGCCUGGGGAGUACGGUCGCAAGAUUAAAACUCAAAGGAAUUGACGGGGUCAU